Molecule: ribosomal RNA, 1264 nt
Filed under: Vibrio vulnificus
Lineage: Bacteria; Pseudomonadati; Pseudomonadota; Gammaproteobacteria; Vibrionales; Vibrionaceae
Description: partial 23S ribosomal RNA
Rfam family: Bacterial large subunit ribosomal RNA
Source: RNAcentral
CGUCGAGCUACUACGGUAGUGAAGUCAUUGAUGCCAUGCUUCCAGGAAAAGCCUCUAAGCUUCAGAUUGUAAGGAAUCGUACCCCAAACCGACACAGGUGGUCGGGUAGAGAAUACCAAGGCGCUUGAGAGAACUCGGGUGAAGGAACUAGGCAAAAUGGUACCGUAACUUCGGGAGAAGGUACGCUCUUGAUGGUGAAGUCCCUUGCGGAUGGAGCUGACGAGAGUCGCAGAUACCAGGUGGCUGCAACUGUUUAUUAAAAACACAGCACUGUGCAAAAUCGUAAGAUGACGUAUACGGUGUGACGCCUGCCCGGUGCCGGAAGGUUAAUUGAUGGGGUUAGCGUAAGCGAAGCUCUUGAUCGAAGCCCCGGUAAACGGCGGCCGUAACUAUAACGGUCCUAAGGUAGCGAAAUUCCUUGUCGGGUAAGUUCCGACCUGCACGAAUGGCGUAAUGAUGGCCACGCUGUCUCCACCCGAGACUCAGUGAAAUUGAAAUCGCUGUGAAGAUGCAGUGUACCCGCGGCUAGACGGAAAGACCCCGUGAACCUUUACUACAGCUUGGCACUGAACAUUGAACCUACAUGUGUAGGAUAGGUGGGAGGCUUUGAAGACGUGACGCCAGUUGCGUUGGAGCCGUCCUUGAAAUACCACCCUUGUAUGUUUGAUGUUCUAACGUUGGCCCCUAAUCGGGGUUGCGGACAGUGCCUGGUGGGUAGUUUGACUGGGGCGGUCUCCUCCCAAAGAGUAACGGAGGAGCACGAAGGUGGGCUAAUCACGGUUGGACAUCGUGAGGUUAGUGCAAUGGCAUAAGCCCGCUUAACUGCGAGAAUGACGGUUCGAGCAGGUGCGAAAGCAGGUCAUAGUGAUCCGGUGGUUCUGAAUGGAAGGGCCAUCGCUCAACGGAUAAAAGGUACUCCGGGGAUAACAGGCUGAUACCGCCCAAGAGUUCAUAUCGACGGCGGUGUUUGGCACCUCGAUGUCGGCUCAUCACAUCCUGGGGCUGAAGUCGGUCCCAAGGGUAUGGCUGUUCGCCAUUUAAAGUGGUACGCGAGCUGGGUUUAGAACGUCGUGAGACAGUUCGGUCCCUAUCUGCCGUGGGCGUUGGAAGAUUGAAGGGGGCUGCUCCUAGUACGAGAGGACCGGAGUGGACGAACCUCUGGUGUUCGGGUUGUGUCGCCAGACGCAUUGCCCGGUAGCUAAGUUCGGAAUCGAUAACCGCUGAAAGCAUCUAAGCGGGAAGCGAGCCCUGAGAUGAGUCUUCC